ACAGAGGUGGCUAGCGUUGUUCGGUAUCACUGGGCUUAAAGCGUGUGUAGGCGGAAGCGUAAGCAUUUUGUGAAAUCCCCCGGCUUAACCGGGGAAUCGCUUGAUGUACUGCGUUUCUUGAGGCAGGUAGGGGUGCGAGGAACUCUUGGUGGAGCGGUGGAAUGCGUAGAUAUCAAGAGGAACGCCGGUGGUGAAGACGUCGCACUGGGCCUGUCCUGACGCUGAGACACGAAAGCGUGGGGAGCGAACGG
This 251-nucleotide ribosomal RNA is filed under the name uncultured prokaryote. RNAcentral's name for it is "partial 16S rRNA". It matches the Rfam family "Bacterial small subunit ribosomal RNA", at positions 525 to 775 of the family's 1533-position model. The record is from RNAcentral.